CCCUAACGAGCCACGUUUAUUCUUGAGAGUAGCAAAAUGGACCCCCAGCUUUGAUGAAAAACAGACAAAACGUUCUGAUUCAGAAGUUUGAAGCAACAAGCUUGGACUUGUAGGUGAGACAGAAGAUCUGGACCAAUGCCAAGCAAAGGACCAGUAGAUUCACGUGGGCAUAAAGGGAAACAAAGUGAAAAAAGAGCUACAUGUCACUCCCUUUCAUAAUGCUAUCAUUCACAAAAGAUUAUGAACAAAUCAGGAUGUUCUCCUUGACACUGAGUUGUCCGGCUGAGCAAGUUUCAGUGUGAGCAGGAAAUACCAUUGUCCUCACUCCCGCUGUUCAGCUGCCCUGGCAGCUCUCCUGGUUUCUCCUGCAUGAGGUCAUAUAUUUAGUAGCAUGAUGUCUUACCUAAGAGUUCUGAGACAAAGAGAGACAUUUCUACAUUUAUCAUUCAUAAAAGCUACCAGAAAGGGUUUUAGGGUCUUAUACAAUAAGCAAUGGAUUUAGAGGAUGGUGUACAACCUCUUGGCUCGUCUGCACUGAAAGAAAAUAAAUUGUCUAGGGCCAAGUGUUAAAUAUGUAAUAUAGUCAAUGUAUAUAAGUAGCAAAGGUUUCUUUAUUUUUUAGCUCGGUGGUUCUGCCGCCUGCCUCGCAAGCACAAGGAUCCAAGAUCAAUCCCCGGUACCAAAAAAAACCACGAAACAUUUUUUAUCAUAACAUUAAGAAAUGAGGAUAAUCAAGAGAGAGAUCUGGAUCAAGUUACUUUAUCCUUCUGAAUGAUCAUCUUCUGUGAUUUUUAUCACCAAAUUGCUACGAAGAUUGCUUGGCAUAAUGUAUGACAGUGUCAGUUGCUUUCCAUUUCCUUCUUGACCAUUUAGUUUCUGGGAAAUUUACCAGUGUGUUGUAAAAGCUC
This 908-nucleotide long non-coding RNA is filed under the name Heterocephalus glaber (naked mole-rat). Its description in RNAcentral is "lncRNA (ENSHGLG00100051374.1)". The record is from RNAcentral. Lineage: Eukaryota; Metazoa; Chordata; Mammalia; Rodentia; Bathyergidae.